RNAcentral lists this ribosomal RNA (464 nucleotides) under uncultured bacterium. Its description in RNAcentral is "bacterial SSU rRNA". It matches the Rfam family "Bacterial small subunit ribosomal RNA", at positions 331 to 793 of the family's 1533-position model. The record is from RNAcentral.
CCAGACUCCUACGGGAGGCAGCAGUGAGGACUCUUUUUCAAUGGGCUUUCUCCUGAACCAGCCAAGUCGCGUUAUUUAUGACGGCCCUAUUUUUUGUAAACCUCUUUUGCCGGGUAUCAAAGUGCCGCACUUGUGCGGUUUGGAGAGUACCCGGAGAAAAAGCAUCGGCUAACUCCGUGCCAGCAGCCGCGGUAAUACGGAGGAUGCGAGCGUUAUCCGGAUUUAUUGGGUUUAAAGGGUGAGUAGGCGGACGCUUAAGUCAGGGGUAAAAUUGCGGGGCUCAACCUCGUCGAGCCGUUGAAACUGGGUGCCUUGAGUGGGCGAGAAGUACGCGGAAUGCGUGGUGUAGCGGUGAAAUGCAUAGAUAUCACGCAGAACUCCGAUUGAGAAGGAAGCGUACCGGCGCCCAACUGACGCUGAAGCACGAAGGCGUGGGUAUCGAACAGGAUUAGAUACCCCUGUAA